GAUGAACGCUGGCGGCGUGCCUAAUACAUGCAAGUCGAGCGAACAGACGAGGAGCUUGCUCCUCUGACGUUAGCGGCGGACGGGUGAGUAACACGUGGAUAACCUACCUAUAAGACUGGGAUAACUUCGGGAAACCGGAGCUAAUACCGGAUAAUAUAUUGAACCGCAUGGUUCAAUAGUGAAAGACGGUUUUGCUGUCACUUAUAGAUGGAUCCGCGCCGCAUUAGCUAGUUGGUAAGGUAACGGCUUACCAAGGCAACGAUGCGUAGCCGACCUGAGAGGGUGAUCGGCCACACUGGAACUGAGACACGGUCCAGACUCCUACGGGAGGCAGCAGUAGGGAAUCUUCCGCAAUGGGCGAAAGCUUGACGGAGCAACGCCGCGUGAGUGAUGAAGGUCUUCGGAUCGUAAAACUCUGUUAUUAGGGAAGAACAAUUGUGUAAGUAACUAUGCACGUCUUGACGGUACCUAAUCAGAAAGCCACGGCUAACUACGUG
Molecule: ribosomal RNA, 497 nt
Filed under: uncultured bacterium
Lineage: Bacteria
Description: partial 16S ribosomal RNA
Rfam family: Bacterial small subunit ribosomal RNA
Source: RNAcentral